GGGGAAAGCAGAGUUGUGGUUUUUGGUUUUUUUUAGUAUAAAAAAAAAAGUGGGCUGGGGAUAGUGGCUCAUGCCUGUAAUCCCAGAACUUUGAGAGGCCGAGGCAGGAGGAUCACUUGAGCCCAGGAGUUCAAGACCAGCCUGGACAAUAUAGAGAGACCCUGUCUCUACAAAAAUAAGAAAAAUAGCCAGGUAUGGUGGUGCACGUGCCUGUAGUCCCAGCUACUUGGAAGGCUAAGGUGAAAGGAUUGCUUGAGCUUGGGAGGUUAAGUCUGCAGUGAGCUGAGAUUGCGCCACUGCAUUUGUUUUGAAAAAUAAGAGAAAAGAAAAAAAAGAAAAAAAGAAUAUAAAAAGGAAAGGAAGAAAAGAAAAACGAAAAUAUUGUGUUAAUGAUGUUCACUCGGAAAAUUAAAAAAAAAAAGAAAAUAUGUAAUAAAUGUUAUAAGGUAACAAAUUCCAUAGAAUUUCAGAGGAAAUAAAAUGAACUUGUAGCUGGUAAGACAGAAGAAAAUUGUGGUGGGAGUAUAUUUGAGCUGGGCUUUAUAAGGAUUCAGAGAAUUUAACUUAAAACAGUGGGGACAAGGAGGCAUUCUAGGUACAGUGAGCAUAAGCAAUGGCAGUGACACUAAACAAACCGUGAUUUGGGAAUUGCCUGUGACCUGAAUUGGCACAGGUGGCAGGUGGGAAACAUGACUGUGACAGAGGCAAGAUAGGAUCAUGGUUCCAUCAUCAUUGUGUCAGGGACCUUAUCCUAUGGGUAAAUGGGAGCCACUGAAGAUCCUUGAGCAGGAGUCUCUGCGUUAUCCCCA
RNAcentral lists this long non-coding RNA (809 nucleotides) under Homo sapiens (human). RNAcentral's name for it is "long non-coding RNA NONHSAT155679.1". Lineage: Eukaryota; Metazoa; Chordata; Mammalia; Primates; Hominidae. The record is from RNAcentral.